GAGGGCGUUAAUUUAUGACUCCUCGGGAAGCUUCCGGGAAACCAAAGUUUUUGGGUUCCGGGGGAAGUAUGGUUGCAAAGCUGAAACUUAAAGGAAUUGACGGAAGGGCACCACCAGGAGUGGAGCCUGCGGCUUAAUUUGACUCAACACGGGAAAACUCACCCGGCCCGGACACCGUAAGGAUUGACAAAUUGAGAGCUCUUUCUUGAUUCGGUGGGUGGUGGUGCAUGGCCGUUCUUAGUUGGUGGAGCGAUUUGUCUGGUUAAUUCCAAUAACAAACGAAACUCUAGCCUGCUAAAUAGGCAGUGGAUUCUUAGUCCACUGUACUUCUUAGAGGGACAAGCAGCGUCUAGCUGCACAAGAUUGAGCAAUAACAGGUCUGUGAUGCCCUUAAAUGUUCGGGGCUGCACGCGCGCUACACUGAAGGAAUCAACAUGCUUCUCAACCUUGCCCGGAAGGGCUAGGUAACCCGUUGAAACUCCUUCGUGAUUGGGAUAGGGAAUUGCAAUUAUUUCCCUUGAACAAGGAAUUCCCAGUAAGUGCGGGUCAUCAGCUCGCGCUGAUUACGUCCCUG
This 574-nucleotide ribosomal RNA is filed under the name Prismatolaimus sp. TKt11. Its description in RNAcentral is "SSU rRNA". It matches the Rfam family "Eukaryotic small subunit ribosomal RNA", at positions 1056 to 1655 of the family's 1831-position model. Lineage: Eukaryota; Metazoa; Nematoda; Enoplea; Triplonchida; Prismatolaimidae. The record is from RNAcentral.